Sorghum bicolor (sorghum) is the source of this 4475-nucleotide long non-coding RNA. RefSeq lists it as uncharacterized. The record is from RefSeq and is a predicted model, not a curated record. Lineage: Eukaryota; Viridiplantae; Streptophyta; Magnoliopsida; Poales; Poaceae. The transcript is spliced from 6 exons.
UGCAAUCAGGUUUCUGCAUUCGUCGCUCACAGAAAGAAACCGCGGCGCGAUCGACGUCCUGGAUCCAUAAGGCGCGGUGAGCCUUCAUCAUGGCUCCGUUGAAGGUUGCGAACCUUCGUGUGCGGAGGAGCUCGACGUGCGGCCCUGACAACGCCGCAUCGGAGGUCGACGGUGCUCGCGUGGUGGGAACAACAGCCUGAAGCCGGCGACAAACAGAGGGUAUGGCUUCGACGGCAAUGGAUCCUACAUCGACAGAAGCGGAUGCGACCGGCCUACACUCGACACAAGAUCUCUCACGGUGAGUGGAUGGAUCGGAUGUGCCGCGUGGACGAGGAGAGGGUGUGUCCGUACUUGCUAAUUCUAGGCUAGACGGCAGGCGAAUCUGGUGUCAGGACGACCGCGGAUGAGCCACCAAUGCAGCGAGGGAUGGUCUCUUCCUAUGGAAGUGCUUGGGGUUGCCUCCGUCCUCAUGUGUUGCACAGAUUCAUGCACGACCUUCGACCGCAAUGGCGGCAGCCGGGAACUGCAAGCCCCUCCACCCCCAAUGCGUUGCGAGCACGCAGGCCAUAGCCAUGUUUUCAGAUCGGACGACUAAUCGCGAUUAGUCGUUCUUAUCGUAAUUGCGUGCUCGAUAAGUUUCGUUGAUUCGAUCAGGUCGAUCAGAAACCUUAUCAUCCGAUUAGAUGCUAUUAGUCGUGAUUAGUCGUCCGAUAAGUGUAGCAGGAUGAUAAGUUGGGCCAGUACAGGAAUAUUGUAUUUAGUCCUGUAGAAAGAAUUCGGUCCACUUAAGGCUGCCCAUUAAAAUAAGAAAAGAACAAGAGUGAGUGAGUGAGUGAGUGAAGUGGCUGAGUGAGUGAGUGUCCAGCAGGCAGGAGCUGCAGCCGCCGGCAUCCUGCUCUGCUCCUGCUCUCCCUCGUAGCCGGCGUCCAGCUCUGCUCCUGCUCUCCCUCACACCCGGCGUCCAGGACACGUCCGCACGACUCCAGCUCCGCCCGCGACUCCCAUCUCCGCCCGCGCGAGCUGCAGCCGCCGGCGUCCGCACUUCCGUCCGCGUGAGCUGCAGUUGCCGGCGUCCGCACAUCCGCCUGCGCCUUCACGUCCGUCCGCGAGAGCUGCAGCCGCCGACGUCCGCACGUCUGCCUGCGCCUCCACCUCCGCCCGCGAGAGCUGCAGCCGCCGGCAUCCGCACAUCCGCCUACGCCUUCACCUCCGCCCGUGAGAGCUGCAGGCACCAGUGGAUCCGCCCGCCUGCAUCAAGAUGAGCCACUCCUCAGUCCGCCUUUGCUAUUGUGACUUAUGAACUGCCUGCUACCUCAAGCUGCAAUCACGGGUCACAGCUCAAGGGGUCCAAGCAGAUCAAGCCGCUUUGCUACCGGAUUUGGCAUUGUGUGCAGUGCUAUGGAACCGGCCAUAUCGUAUGAAAGCAUCCAUGAAGUUGCCAUAAAUACAUUGCUGAUUUGAUGUUGCUCGAGGAGCUCAGGUGGAGGCAUCCAUGCCCCUCUGCGAUCUAGCCUCCAAGCUGCUCUAUCUUGGCUUCCAAGGGAAGUAUCAUUUUGCAAGAGAUCCACGGUCCGCAAGCAUGUCCCCGUGUUGAGCCUCGGCGCAUAGUGAUCCUCAGAACUGAAAAAUCAAGUAUGGUCCAACCAUGGCCACAUAAACAGGUAUGAAUCUUAUUAACUGAAUUUGGCAUGAUGCAACCUAUAAUUUUGAAGUGCGGCGUUCAAAUCAGAAACAUGGAAUCUAGAAUAGACAAGCAUUUUGCAGCCACUACAAAUAUGAAAUCUCAAUUUUGGCUUGACAUGGGCUUGAGAUAUAUAGUAAUUUUUUUCUAUGAGUCCUUAUUUACACCUAAUGCUGGCCGUUUCCUAUCCUCUAUUUGUCCAUACUUACACCUGCAUUUUCUUUAUGAAUCCUUAUUUACACAUAAUCAUUGAGAUAUGCAGGAUGUGUGUGAUGCUUAUUAAUUUUAUUAUAUUCAACUGUACAGCUACUGAUCUAAUUUAGUAAGAGGUGUUGCACAUCUGUGUAUGUGGUCUAUCUGUUGUGGACUGGCCAAAUAGAAACUAUACAUAUACAUUUUGAAAGAAAAUAAGGGAAAAAAUAUAGGGGGCCAAAAGGGCAAGGGUGCCAAGACAGGUCCCACCGAAAAAUGAUGAUUGCCUAAAAAAUAAAAUUGUCGCCUUGCAUUUUUUUGUCACAGAUUGAAUUUAUAUUUUUAAUUUUUUUAGUUUGAAACAAACCUAUCUGAUGCUAGAACACCUUUAGAAUUUAGUGUCAACUAGAAAACAACAGAGGAUACCAAAGCUAUCUUUUAGGUGCCCCACCUCCUAUGAAAACACAUGCCCUGCUCUCCUCGGUGACCACCGUCUUCUGCUGCACCAGCCCACUCUCUUCUUAGGCCGAGAACAACAAGAAGGGUGUGUCCAGUUGAGGCCAUCAACGUUGACCUGCUGCAGUGUUGUCUGCUCCGGUCCAUUGACACCAGCCCUUUUCUAGUGUCACAAGAAGGGUAGAUAUAUGGACUGCUAGGGUGUUUAUGCAUGUUCUACUGAUGGACAGUCUUCCAUUCCAAGGAAAUUCUGUCGAAGCUAUCUUUGAUGCUAUAAUGACUGCACAUAAGUGGUGAAGGUGGAUCCUUGAGGUAUGAAAAAUAAGGAAAAAUAUUAUACAUAGAAUUUUUCAGCCCAAGAUAUUAACUGAUAUCAACAGCAUGAAAGAAACUUCAAUUCCUUUUAAGUUGAGCUAUACAUUCUGAGCAUCAACAUAACCCUUUUUUUUCUAACAUUGUUUGGGUGGUCAGCAGAUUCUACUAGAAUAACAUUUUUGAAUGUUGGUAUUAUAAAUCAUGUACUACAUAUUAGCAUAUUUUUUAGUGCUACUUAUGUAUAAAAGUAUAGAAGUAAAAUAUUUUCUCAUUCAGUAUCUAUCUACUUUGGUUGUGCAUAUGCUCUUCCUAUCCAUGUACUGUGUCCUUGGCUUCUAUAGUUGCAGAUUUCAAAAGGUGUAGAACACUUCAAUAUAGUACAGUUCAGUGAUUUCAGUGAGCAUGACAGGAUGGGAUAUCUACUCAAUACUUCACUAGUUAGAAUCAUCCAUAGAAUCUAUUGACACACUUGUUUUUGUUAGUGUUUUAUCGGCUGAAGUUGAUGAAGGAAAGGGAGCCACCAUCGAUGCGGUCUGGGCUCUGUGAAUUAUUCAAUCUGGCUAAAAAGGCGUUAAAAUUGUUGAUCGUCUGGUGUCCAGUGAGAAGUUCCUACCUUGGAUGAGGGGUAGUACGUUGGGUCUGCUCGUAACCGAUAGAGACUAGCAAUAGUUUUUACAGAAGUCAUAGCUCCUCAACCAAAUACACCCAAAAGUAGGGCCGGUGGUGAUGUGAAAUUUGAACAAGUUAAAAGUUGCUUUUGGUUAUAUAAUAUAUAAGACAUCAAUCUUAAUAAAUCUGUUUUUUGUUUAUUUUUAUAUAAAGUUUCACUCCUUAUUCUACAGUACAUGUCUACAUGGAAUAGAUCUAAAGUAACAUAUAUUUAUACGAUGAGUAUAACAUACUUUGUUUUAAAGUUUUGUGAGAGAUUUUUAAAACAUGCAGUAUUAUCCAUGUGAUAGGCACUAAUAUUUACAUAUACACUUGAAUUUUAUAUAAAAUAUUAUCUUAGCCGCAUCGUAGAAAGGUCUAUACAAUAGUGUUUAUGAGCAUACAAUGUCACACUCUUGUGACUAUGUUAAUUUCAUGAGUUUUGCUUUUUUUAUUAAAUGCCCUAUUUGGCGCGUCUAGCCAUAGCAGUGAUGUCACCAAAAAUGUGGUGUUCGAUUUCAUCGCCUGACUUUUGGUAGACGUGAAAAAUGACUUACGUGCAAUUUUUGGCGGCGUUUAAUUUCAUCGCCUGUAUGUUUGCGAGUUCAGGCAAAGAAAUUGACUUACAUGUGUCGGUGUCUGGACUCACGGUCCAGACACUAACAAGUGAAUAUGUGUCUGUGUGCUCUCAAUCUAGAUGGUGAUGCAGGAAGAACACAACGGAUUUACACUGGUUCAGGUCGUGAAUGCCCUACGUCCAGUGUGGAGGAGAGAUUUGUAUUAUCCUAUCCCCGGAGUACUCGUAGUAGAGAUUACAAGCAAGUUGCGCGAGAGAGAGCGUGUCCCAGGUCUCGGCUCUAGAUGUGGUGUGUGAGACUUGCUCGUGAUUGCCUGUGAUCACACGCGGCGAUCUGCGAUCCUCUGCCUCCGAAUGAGACCUUUCCCUUUUGUAGUUCUAAGGGGAGGCAGGGAUACAUGUGUUUGUGUUAUGAUAUUAUGGUGUUGGUCUGAGGCGUGGGUUGAGGUAUGGCAUUGUACGAGGUGGCAAGGCGCUCUAUUCCUGAUGUUGUUAGGCCCAGCUGUCCUCCUUUCCUGAUUGGGCCCCGGAAGGGGUGCUGGGCGAUUACCUUGGCCUCAUUAACUUAUUAUUAUUUUGUUUUUGAAAAGGAGGUCAGUGUUCUUA